This 452-nucleotide ribosomal RNA is filed under the name uncultured Eubacteriales bacterium. RNAcentral describes it as "bacterial SSU rRNA". It matches the Rfam family "Bacterial small subunit ribosomal RNA", at positions 933 to 1382 of the family's 1533-position model. Lineage: Bacteria; Bacillati; Bacillota; Clostridia; Eubacteriales. The record is from RNAcentral.
CGGAGCAUGUGGUUUAAUUCGAAGCAACGCGAAGAACCUUACCAGGGCUUGACAUGCCGCUGACCGGUGCAGAGAUGCAUCUUUAUCCUUCGGGGUACAGCGGACACAGGUGGUGCAUGGUUGUCGUCAGCUCGUGUCGUGAGAUGUUGGGUUAAGUCCCGCAACGAGCGCAACCCUUGUCUUUAGUUGCCAUCAUUAAGUUGGGCACUCUAAAGAGACUGCCGAUGACAAAUCGGAGGAAGGUGGGGAUGACGUCAAAUCAUCAUGCCCUUUAUGUCCUGGGCUACACACGUGCUACAAUGGUCGGUACAACGAGAAGCAAGCCAGCGAUGGCAAGCAAAUCUCUAAAAGCCGAUCCCAGUUCGGAUUGCAGGCUGCAACUCGCCUGCAUGAAGUCGGAGUUGCUAGUAAUCGCGGAUCAGAAUGCCGCGGUGAAUACGUUCCCGGGCCUU